Long non-coding RNA from Lepus europaeus (European hare), 473 nucleotides. RefSeq lists it as uncharacterized. Lineage: Eukaryota; Metazoa; Chordata; Mammalia; Lagomorpha; Leporidae. The record is from RefSeq and is a predicted model, not a curated record. The transcript is spliced from 3 exons.
AUAAGUUGGUCUCUGUAGUGACCAUGUGGAAGUCCUGACCUCGCUUGCAGACUUGACCUCUGGACAUGACAAGGUGAGGCUCUGUAUUCACGAUACAUCUCCUUAAGUUCACCGGGCUCAUGAAAAGAAGUGCUGAAUCAGCGAAUCGAGUGAGGAACAAGAUGAGAUGGCUGCGGCUGCUGUGACUCUGUAGGUCAUUGCCUCUCUUCCUGCUGCAAAUGCUGCACAACACUAGGCUUACAGGCCCUAGAAGCAAACUCUCCCCUACCCCUCCCCCAAAAGAAAAGAAGAAACUUGUUCUGAAGACUAUGAAGAAAUACCACGCUGAUCUUAGCAAUUUCUGAAAAACUCCACUAAUUCUAUGAAUCUCUUGCAAAAAGAACCAAAUCAGGACAAAGUUCAACAGAUAACUGGUCAAAUGUUUAAGAAUGUCUAUGUCACCGAGAACAAGGAACCAUAAAUGGUAUCAAUGC